UACGGAGGGUGCGAGCGUUAAUCGGAAUUACUGGGCGUAAAGCGCACGUAGGCGGCUUGAUAAGUCGGGUGUGAAAUCCCUGGGCUCAACCUGGGAACUGCAUUCGAUACUGUCUGGCUAGAGUGCGGUAGAGGGGGGUAGAAUUCCUAGUGUAGCGGUGAAAUGCGUAGAUAUUAGGAGGAAUACCAGUGGCGAAGGCGGCCCCCUGGACUGACACUGACGCUGAGGUGCGAAAGCGUGGGGAGCAAACAGG
RNAcentral lists this ribosomal RNA (253 nucleotides) under uncultured bacterium. RNAcentral's name for it is "partial 16S ribosomal RNA". It matches the Rfam family "Bacterial small subunit ribosomal RNA", at positions 524 to 776 of the family's 1533-position model. The record is from RNAcentral.